RNAcentral lists this unclassified non-coding RNA (336 nucleotides) under soil metagenome. Its description in RNAcentral is "partial contains 5.8S ribosomal RNA, internal transcribed spacer 2, and large subunit ribosomal RNA". The stretch from base 1 to 120 matches the Rfam family "5.8S ribosomal RNA", at positions 35 to 154 of the family's 154-position model. The record is from RNAcentral.
GAUGAAGAACGUAGUGAAAUGCGAUAAGUAGUGUGAAUUGCAGAAUUCAGUGAAUCAUCGAAUCUUUGAACGCACAUUGCGCCCCUUGGUAUUCCAUGGGGCAUGCCUGUUCGAGCGUCAUUUGUACCUUCAAGCUUUGCUUGGUGUUGGGUGUUUGUCUCGCCUUUGCGUGUAGACUCGCCUUAAAAUAAUUGGCAGCCGGCGUAUUGAUUUCGGAGCGCAGUACAUCUCGCGCUUUGCACUCAUAACGACAGCGUCCAAAAGUACAUUUUACACUCUUGACCUCGGAUCAGGUAGGGAUACCCGCUGAACUUAAGCAUAUCAAUACGCGGAGGA